AAAACAUCGCCUCUUGCAAAGUAAUGAAUAAGAGGUCCCGCCUGCCCUGUGACUCUAAGUUUAACGGCCGCGGUAUUUUGACCGUGCGAAGGUAGCGCAAUCACUUGUCUUUUAAAUGGAGACCUGUAUGAAUGGCAUAACGAGGGCUUAGCUGUCUCCUUUCUCUAGUCAAUGAAAUUGAUCUCCCCGUGCAGAAGCGGGGAUAGAACCAUAAGACGAGAAGACCCUAUGGAGCUUUAGACGCCAGGACAGACCAUGUUAAACACCUCCCCAUAAGGAGCCCAAACCAAAUGGUCCCUGCCCUAGUGUCUUUGGUUGGGGCGACCGCGGGGAAACAUAAAACCCCCAUGUGGAAUGGGAGCACCCUCUCCUACAACUAAGAGCUACGGCUCUAAUGAACAGAAUUUCUGACCAACAAGAUCCGGCAAUGCCGAUCAACGGACCGAGUUACCCUAGGGAUAACAGCGCAAUCCCCUUUUAGAGCCCAUAUCGACAAGGGGGUUUACGACCUCGAUGUUGGAUCAGGACAUCCUAAUGGUGCAGCCGCUAUUAAGGGUUCGUUUGUUCAACGAUUAAAGUCCUACGUG
This 587-nucleotide ribosomal RNA is filed under the name Ammodytes personatus (Pacific sandeel). RNAcentral describes it as "partial 16S ribosomal RNA". It matches the Rfam family "Bacterial large subunit ribosomal RNA", at positions 1810 to 2602 of the family's 2925-position model. Lineage: Eukaryota; Metazoa; Chordata; Actinopteri; Uranoscopiformes; Ammodytidae. The record is from RNAcentral.